GCUUUCCAAUAUAUAUAAAUGUUUUUUUUUCCUCCUCUUCUUUUUUUUUUGUAAGUCUCCAGCCAAUAAAUAUGUAUCGCGCCCGACGGUUUAUCUCCCGUUCCGAACAAUCGACUUCUUUCUAAAGCAACGGCUUAGCUCCUAUUGACAAUACGAGUCAUUUACAUAGGAGCACUUAUAAUGACCGCCAAUCGAUUCCGCGGAAAAAUUUUUAUUCCUGGGAUGACGAUUUUUUAUUUGGAAAAAAACAGCAAUUUCCACGUAGACAAUAAAACAAAUCAAUUAAACAUCGAUGAAAUCGAACUUGCAACUCGAUCGUAUAUGAGUCCCGAUAGACGUCAAGGAUCAGUGCAAUUGAACUUGCACGAACUGUUACGUCAAUCGGGACUCAUGCAAUAUGGCAGAUGAUGUUUAAUCAAACGUAAUUCUUGCUUUUCCAAAACAUUCAAGCUACGCUAUGUGUUAAGCGGAACUAAAUUAGUUAAUCAGACUCGUGGCCACGCUCCGGGCUUUCGGAUAUCGUGACAUUUUUGGCGUUAUAUACCACGUUUGCAUCACGUAAAGCGCAAAACUGUUCGCUGGACUUGUCCGAUUUUAACAGAAAAGAAGGAAGGAAGGAAGAGAGAUAAAAAAAAAAAAAAAACUUGCACCGCUUUAGUAAAAUCUAUCUGGAGCAUGAGAAAUA
Molecule: long non-coding RNA, 685 nt
Filed under: Androctonus crassicauda
Lineage: Eukaryota; Metazoa; Arthropoda; Arachnida; Scorpiones; Buthidae
Source: RNAcentral